Molecule: unclassified non-coding RNA, 660 nt
Filed under: Hevea brasiliensis (rubber tree)
Lineage: Eukaryota; Viridiplantae; Streptophyta; Magnoliopsida; Malpighiales; Euphorbiaceae
Source: RNAcentral
CGCAUUGAUCGUAUCUAUGGAUUAGCGGAUACGCUCACAUAUGAGCGUAAUUGUGAGGCCCUGAUGCUGCUUCAGAAGAAUGGUCUACAUAAGAAAAAACCCUCAAUUGCUGUUGUGGCUAACCUAUUCUGGGGCGAUGCAUGGUUGGAGGAGAAUCAUUUAGCAGACUGGGAUGAAGCAGAUUUGGAUGGAUCUUUGGGUGGUACAAUGUUUGAUAAUUCACAGCAGAAGGCCAUUGCCUUAGGAUUGAACAAGAAACGGCCAUUAUUGAUAAUUGAAGGGCCUCCUGGUACGGGAAAGUCAGGUUUGCUCAAGGAAAUUAUUUUACGUGCUGUUCAACAAGGUGAAAGGGUGCUUGUGACAGCACCUACAAAUGCAGCUGUUGACAAUAUGGUUGAAAAGCUUUCAAAUAUAGGGUUAGACAUUGUGCGGGUUGGUAAUCCAGCACGUAUUUCUUCAGCUGUGGCAUCAAAGUCUUUGAGUGAAAUAGUUAAUUCUAAGCUUGCAACAUUCCGGAUGGAGUUUGAAAGGAAAAAGUCUGAUCUGAGAAAAGACCUGAGACAUUGUUUAGAGGAUGAUUCUUUAGCUGCUGGCAUUCGUCAGCUUUUAAAACAGCUUGGGAAGACAUUGAAGAAGGAGGAGAAGGAGACUGUGAAGGAG